Molecule: ribosomal RNA, 397 nt
Filed under: uncultured bacterium
Lineage: Bacteria
Description: partial 16S ribosomal RNA
Rfam family: Bacterial small subunit ribosomal RNA
Source: RNAcentral
AUACGUAGGGGGCGAGCGUUGUCCGGAAUGAUUGGGCGUAAAGGGCGCGUAGGCGGCCCGGUAAGUCUGGAGUGAAAGUCCUGUUUUUAAGAUGGGAAUUGCUUUGGAUACUGUCGGGCUUGAGUGCAGGAGAGGUAAGUGGAAUUCCCAGUGUAGCGGUGAAAUGCGUAGAGAUUGGGAGGAACACCAGUGGCGAAGGCGACUUACUGGACUGUAACUGACGCUGAGGCGCGAAAGUGUGGGGAGCAAACAGGAUUAGAUACCCUGGUAGUCCACACUGUAAACGAUGAAUGCUAGGUGUGGGGGGUAGCGACCCCUUCUGUGCCGCAGUCAACACAAUAAGCAUUCCGCCUGGGGAGUACGGCCGCAAGGUUGAAACUCAAAUGAAUUGACGGGG